Molecule: non-coding RNA, 338 nt
Filed under: Piloderma croceum F 1598
Lineage: Eukaryota; Fungi; Basidiomycota; Agaricomycetes; Atheliales; Atheliaceae
Description: Eukaryotic large subunit ribosomal RNA
Rfam family: Eukaryotic large subunit ribosomal RNA
Source: Rfam by way of RNAcentral
ACGCUAGUAUUCAGAGGGGAAAAUUUGAAACGAUCAUCCCUUCAGGGUUUAUAGAUAGAAUUAAGUGAAAUUGUCACUUAUGUACUUUAUUUUUUGAAUGACUUGAGUUCAGACACUAGAGAAUCCCGUCUUUGACACGGACAACCGAUGCUUUUGUGAUGCGCUCUCGAAGAGUCGAGUUGUUUGGGAAUGCAGCUCAAAAUGGGUGGUAAAUUCCAUCUAAAGCUAAAUAUUGGCGAGAGACCGAUAGCGAACAAGUACCGUGAGGGAAAGAUGAAAAGCACUUUGGAAAGAGAGUUAAACAGUACGUGAAAUUGUUGAAAGGGAAACGUUUGAAG